Stylophora pistillata is the source of this 935-nucleotide long non-coding RNA. The record is from RefSeq and is a predicted model, not a curated record. Lineage: Eukaryota; Metazoa; Cnidaria; Anthozoa; Scleractinia; Pocilloporidae.
UCAAGACUGGAUAUUCAGAAGACUUGUGGUUAGUUCAUUGCACUCAGAUUUGAGAGGUCUAAAUUGCAACCCAAACCAAACCAUUGUGGUGUGUUCCUUGGAAAGAUCAUGUACCUCUGUGUACCUCAAGACUUCAAACAGGUUGCAGAAAACUAUCAGAAGGGGUUUACCUGCAUGCAUCCCAUCCAGGGGGGGAAUAAUAGCACUCAUUGGCACUUCUUGCUGUAGAAACAGUUUUAAGUUCUAAUGGUGUAAGUUAGUGGGUUCAAGAGCAGACUUGACCUUUCUGUUGAUAAUUAUUAUCACAAUUCUAAGAGCAAUAUUCAGUUGAUUUUCAAAGAAAAUAUGAGAUUAUAAUGAUCUCACUUCACUUGAAUCUUCUUUAAUUGAUUAGAGAGACCUUAUACCACCCACACCCAACCUCCCCUGAGACAAAUUCAAAAUUACAAAAAUAAUCAAAAUCACAAGGUGGUCCCUAAUAGAUCGUUCUAUUCUAAUAUUUAAAGAAAGAAAAUGUUUCAGGUUUAGUUAAAAUGAAAAAAAUAUAUAAAUUAUACUUUUUUUACAUUUAAAUGUAGCUUUCUUAUGGUAGCACUGGAGGCUUAUCGCAACAGACAUGAUGCACUGAAUUUUAUGGCCAGUGGAGCCGUGUCAUGAUUGUAUGGCUGUGGGAUACAAGCGCUGUGACAAGUGUUGUGGACGUGGAAGGGUGUAGCCCAUCAAGACCUUUUUUGACCAGCAAGUAAACAUGGGCUCGAAGAGGCUGGUAGACGAACACAGCACCAAGUGGCCUGCCAAGAGCAUUCUUAUGCAGGUAGAUAGAUCUUUAAUCAGAAAAUUUAUUAAAUCAGGUGUUGCCGAGACUUCAAAUCGACAUCAUUUGUAACUUGUUUACCACAAUUUAUUCCGAAACUCUGCCAGUUUUUUACAAAGCC